GACUUUCACCUUAACUUUGGACAGCCCUCGUUCUCUCAAUCCCCACAAAGGAGAAGGGAUGGUAGUGUUAACGGGGAGAAGAAGAAGAAGCAACAAUGGUGAAAACUCUCUCCAUAUUUUUCCAAAACCGGCUUCUCCUCAUCUCUCGGCCAUCUCUCACUCUCGGCCUUCUCUCCCUCAACUCACACACAACCACACACCAUACAUUCACGGUUGUAGAAGAGAUGGAUAUAUAUUGCAUAGGUUAG
RNAcentral lists this long non-coding RNA (248 nucleotides) under Olea europaea (common olive). Its description in RNAcentral is "long non-coding RNA (OEUR_LNC014827)". Lineage: Eukaryota; Viridiplantae; Streptophyta; Magnoliopsida; Lamiales; Oleaceae. The record is from RNAcentral.